CAGUGAUGCAACAAAAGGUCUAGGUGUUUAAAAUUUUUCAUUCAAAUAUCCAGGUGCACCGAAAUCCUAGAACCCAGAAAUCCUUAACCAUACCAAUCAAAGUAGAGAUCUACAAGAAGUAUUAAGAAGCAUACCUCUUGAAUUCUGAUUUGAUGAAGAAUUACUUCUACAAGGUGUCCAAGUGUUCUCCCUCCAACGGUAAUUCACAUAAGAGUCGAUCUAAAGACAGUGCUCCUUCUGGAAUCUUGCUUCAAGAGUUCUAGUCCUUAGAACUCAAAUAGCCUUGCACCAAUUAUAUUUCUUCAAGAACCUGACCUCAUCCUUUUGAAGACUCCUCUGGACUUUUCAAACCUCUCUUUCAGAACUUUCUUCUCCCUUGUUAGGACCUCACUUAGAUUUUUCUUAAAUAUAGAAGGCCUUGUCCUAAAACUAGAGAGAUGUAAGAAAGAAAGGAUAGAACUUGGACUGUUUUUGGAAAGCCUGAAUUGGAAUGAAAUGCCCGGUGCCCAAGCCCUUUUUAUAGGUGAACAAGGGGUGCGUGGGGAAGAGUUACAACUCUUCCUCAUGUCCUCUGACUGUUGCAUGUCAGAAGAAGAGAGUCUUCA
Molecule: long non-coding RNA, 605 nt
Filed under: Elaeis guineensis (African oil palm)
Lineage: Eukaryota; Viridiplantae; Streptophyta; Magnoliopsida; Arecales; Arecaceae
Description: long non-coding RNA (EGUI_LNC033603)
Source: RNAcentral